RNAcentral lists this unclassified non-coding RNA (426 nucleotides) under Hevea brasiliensis (rubber tree). Lineage: Eukaryota; Viridiplantae; Streptophyta; Magnoliopsida; Malpighiales; Euphorbiaceae. The record is from RNAcentral.
GCCUUCUUCGUGUAAACGGAGAAGAGGAUUUCGUAAUAGAGCAAAAACCAAGCGGGGUAAAGGCUGCAGUUGAGGACAUUGGGAAAAUGCAACAUCAAUGUGAACGCCACUUGAACCACCAUGCCCAGACUGAAUAAGUUUACAAGCAUCAUUAUACUGAGCUGUAAGAAUAACAAGCCAAUCAUGAAGUAACAUUCUGCCCUCUCGAACACCUUGCUCCAACGAGGCUAGAAUAACCUUGUGGACAAGUAAUGAAAGCACCACUUCAGAAUCAACACAGUCAUAAAUCUCAUUUAUGCUAUGACCUACUCCAAACUGAAGAGUUCGAAUCCUUAAUCUCUUUUUGAGAGAAUGCUUUGCUCUUGUUGUAGUAUUUGAUCCUGCAUUUGCUAGUUCAUCUGGUGGGACAACAACAGUAUACUGAAA